ACCCAAGUAGCUCAGUUGGUUAGAGCGAGACCAAAUAGUCCGUCGCAUGAAAUCCAGUUGGUCUUUAAAAAGCUGGUUGAAAGACGCAGGUUCGAGUCCUGCCUUGGGUGCCA
Molecule: transfer RNA, 113 nt
Filed under: Segatella copri
Lineage: Bacteria; Pseudomonadati; Bacteroidota; Bacteroidia; Bacteroidales; Prevotellaceae
Description: tRNA-OTHER
Rfam family: tRNA
About the family: Transfer RNA (tRNA) molecules are approximately 80 nucleotides in length. Their secondary structure includes four short double-helical elements and three loops (D, anti-codon, and T loops).
Source: RNAcentral